This 508-nucleotide ribosomal RNA is filed under the name uncultured bacterium. RNAcentral describes it as "bacterial SSU rRNA". It matches the Rfam family "Bacterial small subunit ribosomal RNA", at positions 33 to 518 of the family's 1533-position model. The record is from RNAcentral.
ACGACGCUGGCGGCGUGCUUAACACAUGCAAGUCGAACGGGGCGAAGAGGAGCUUGCUCUUCCUAGCCUAGUGGCAAACGGGUGAGUAACGCGUAGGCAACCUGCCCUUCAGAUGGGGACAACAUUUCGAAAGGAAUGCUAAUACCGAAUGACGUGCAUUGGUCGCAUGACCGAUGUACCAAAGGCUGGGCAACCGGUCACUGAAGGAUGGGCCUGCGUCUGAUUAGCUAGUUGGUGGGGUAACGGCUCACCAAGGCGACGAUCAGUAGCCGGUCUGAGAGGAUGAACGGCCACAUUGGGACUGAGACACGGCCCAAACUCCUACGGGAGGCAGCAGUGGGGAAUCUUCCGCAAUGGGCGCAAGCCUGACGGAGCAACGCCGCGUGAGUGAAGAAGGUUUUCGGAUCGUAAAGCUCUGUUGUCAGGGACGAGAGACUUGAUUAGGAAAUGGGUCAAGGAGGACGGUACCUGACGAGAAAGCCACGGCUAACUACGUGCCAGCCGCCGC